This 497-nucleotide ribosomal RNA is filed under the name uncultured bacterium. Its description in RNAcentral is "partial 16S ribosomal RNA". It matches the Rfam family "Bacterial small subunit ribosomal RNA", at positions 28 to 507 of the family's 1533-position model. The record is from RNAcentral.
GACGAACGAGGGAGGAGGGAAGAAUACAGGCAAGUAGAACGCUGAAGAGAGGAGCUUGCUCUUCUUGGAUGAGUUGCGAACGGGUGAGUAACGCGUAGGUAACCUGCCUUGUAGCGGGGGAUAACUAUUGGAAACGAUAGCUAAUACCGCAUAACAAUGGAUGACACAUGUCAUUUAUUUGAAAGGGGCAAUUGCUCCACUACAAGAUGGACCUGCGUUGUAUUAGCUAGUAGGUGAGGUAAUGGCUCACCUAGGCGACGAUACAUAGCCGACCUGAGAGGGUGGUGGGCCACACUGGGACUGAGACACGGCCCAGACUCCUACGGGAGGCAGCAGUAGGGAAUCUUCGGCAAUGGGGGCAACCCUGACCGAGCAACGCCGCGUGAGUGAAGAAGGUUUUCGGAUCGUAAACUGCUGUUGUAAGUGAAGAACGGGUGUGAGAGUGGAAAGUUCACACUGUGACGGUAGCUUACCAGAAAGGGCCGGCUCCCUACGUC